Molecule: ribosomal RNA, 416 nt
Filed under: uncultured bacterium
Lineage: Bacteria
Description: partial 16S ribosomal RNA
Rfam family: Bacterial small subunit ribosomal RNA
Source: RNAcentral
UGGGGAAUAUUGCACAAUGGGCGCAAGCCUGAUGCAGCCAUGCCGCGUGUGUGAAGAAGGCCUUCGGGUUGUAAAGCACUUUCAGCGAGGAGGAAGGCGUUAAGGUUAAUAACCUUGCGAGUAUACGUUACUCGCAGAAGAAGCACCGGCUAACUCCGUGCCAGCAGCCGCGGUAAUACGGAGGGUGCAAGCGUUAAUCGGAAUUACUGGGCGUAAAGCGCACGCAGGCGGUUUGUUAAGUCAGAUGUGAAAUCCCCGAGCUUAACUUGGGAACUGCAUUUGAAACUGGCAAGCUAGAGUCUUGUAGAGGGGGGUAGAAUUCCAGGUGUAGCGGUNAAAUGCGUAGAGAUCUGGAGGAAUACCGGUGGCGAAGGCGGCCCCCCUGGACAAAGACUGACGCUCAGGUGCGAAAGCGU